UGCUGGAGCACCAGGCUGUAGGGGGGGAGGGACGAUGGGGCAGGGGCAGAGGGGCUGAAUGGGGCGUGGAGGGGGCAGGCCCUCGGCCUCUUUGCACCGGGCAGAGUGACGAGCUUCGCCGGUGUCUUCAUUGAAGUCCUGUUGGUCCCUACCGGCACAUCACACACUCCUGGAAGCAUGAUCUUCACUCCCUUCCUUCCACCUGCUGACCUGGGGAGGAUACCGGGCACUCGGAAUCUGAGACCACCGGAGCCACAGACACAGGCGUGAACGGUGACCGAGCCCCCUCUGAUGCUCCAUGCCCCUGCUCGCCCCAGUGUCCCGGUCACCGGGCCUGAAAUAAAUGCUGGCACGCUUGACUGUUUUUGCUUUGUGGCAUUUGAUGUAACUUUCAACACGUCGGCUGAACUGGGGGUGGUCAGCUUUGGUGGUGGUGGGGUUGUGAAGGGAGAGAGCUAGCAUCUUCCUUAGCCCUGUUAGGCUGUCUGCCCUCCUCCUCGAGGCAGCGCUGCUUGUUACUAGGUCCUGGUGGCGAUGGGCUGUAGCCAAUCAACGGUGAGUUUUCCACGGCUCUCAGCUCUGACCCUGGCGGGGCACUUACAUGCAGGAAUGAGGACGGAAUAACAUCUCACAUGCAGGAAUGAGGACGGAAUAACAUCUCUCUUACCCCCAGCAAUGCACACAGUCUUCAUAUCUGAGGAAAACUGGGCGGUGUUUAUAUGCGGAGGCGAGAGGGUCAUGUGGAGGAAGAAUCUGUGGACCUCAGAAAAGGCGUUAACCCCUGUACUGACAAAGAGCUCCCAAGCCCCGCCUACUCCACCACAAGACAGAGACCCCUUCCAACAGACGGCCUUGUCUCCAACUAUGCAUUGUUCCUUUCCAUAAGAUGAGGACUUUAUUUUUUUUCUUUUGCCUUCCUAAGGUGACCUUGAUAUGUGUUGCAACACAGUAUCAGCAGGAGAAUUCUGAAAGGGGGGCGGUUGGAGCAUAAUUGUCCCUGUUAACUAACAACCAUGGAGGAGGCCCUGUUAGAAACUGCAGCACCAGGGGUCACCAAAGUAAAUGGACAAGGAUAUUGGAUGUGCUCUUUAGCAUCAAGAAGCCUAACUAGGACACAGGAACACCAAAAUUCUCUCUCCCCCUCCCCCGUCUCAUGCAGUCCCCUGUGCAAAGCCAGGGGAGGAAAAAAAAAAAAUGCUUUCUUAGGGCCUGCUGGGUGAAUUACUCACCCUCUGGUUCUUCAGAGGUCCAGGGCCUUUAAGCUCAAAUGAAAUCCAGAUGGGGUAAGGUUCAGGUAGGCGACAGCAUUUGGAAGUCCCACAGCCCUUUUCCUAUAUUCCUGGGGAACAGCCACGGUGAGACCCAUAGGUACUGAACAGACAGAGCUGUUAAUUAUGGAGUGAUGGAGUUCUUUAGAUCCCAUGUCUCUGCAGCUUUUUCGAUGGCACAGGUACCACCUAUCUCCCCACAAUGGCUCUGUCCUCCUGAGCUGGGCCCUAACUCAGUGGGGGAAGUUCAGCUCCAUGUUGCUGCUUCUCCAAAAGGGGCUAGGACUUGACAUCAUGGGGUUUAGCCCUAAACCCCAUGUUUAGUCCAAAAGAGGAGCAGCGUUCCAACUCCCUAGGG
RNAcentral lists this long non-coding RNA (1626 nucleotides) under Homo sapiens (human). Its description in RNAcentral is "HSALNT0283607". Lineage: Eukaryota; Metazoa; Chordata; Mammalia; Primates; Hominidae. The record is from RNAcentral.